RNAcentral lists this ribosomal RNA (253 nucleotides) under uncultured bacterium. RNAcentral describes it as "partial 16S ribosomal RNA". It matches the Rfam family "Bacterial small subunit ribosomal RNA", at positions 524 to 776 of the family's 1533-position model. The record is from RNAcentral.
UACAGAGGUCUCAACCGUUGUUCGGAUUCAUUGGGCGUAAAGGGUGCGUAGGCGGUCGCGCAAGUCGGAUGUGAAAUCUUAGGGCUCAACCCUGAAACUGCACUCGAUACUGCGUGGCUCGAGUACUGGAGAGGAGACUGGAAUUUACGGUGUAGCAGUGAAAUGCGUAGAUAUCGUAAGGAAGACCAGUGGCGAAAGCGAGUCUCUGGACAGUUACUGACGCUGAGGCACGAAGGCCAGGGGAGCAAACGGG